AUGAAAAAUGUGGUAAGAGUACCAAAGGUAUGAAAAAUGUUGUAAGAGUAACAUUUCUAGUAUUCAAAAUAAAAAAUGUUGCCUUUAUCAUAUUUUUCAUACCAUAUUUGUAUCAUCCCUAAUAAAAAGGGACUCGCGGGGUGUUGGUGACCCUUACCUCUAUUAGAAAGAUGAUACAAAUGUAGUAUAAAAAAUAUGGUACUCUUUGAAUACAUAAUUAAGUAAAACAUUCACCACAAAUAUGUAUAGUAACUAAAUACAAAAAAAGGGGUAAUUCUCUUUUAUAGAAUUUAAUUUGGAAAAGGGUGAGUAGGCAUAAUAAGUAAAAAAAGUAAAAAAUCACCACUUGGUGUUAUGACAAACAAAAAUAUAUAAAAUGUUAAUGCAUCGUCAUUUUUUACCAUGGUCUAAAAUAUCCAUAAUAUCUCGAUAUUUCCAUCGAAAUUUCCGUGUUUUUGGACUACCGAUAUUUUUUUGGACUACUGUUAUUUCCGAUAUCAUCGAUAUUUUAGACCUUGCUAAGUCACUCAUGUAUCUUACCAUGCAAUGUAUAAAGUGUAAAAUAUUGUAUUAAUUCAUUAUAUAUAAAUGAUUAUGGUGUGUUUAAACUACUUUCAUUAAUUACUACAUAUUUUCUACACUCACAAUGUUUGCUAGCUCGCUAUAUAAUCAACUUAAAUCAGUUAUAUCUAUCAUGCAAUGCAUUUCCUUCCAAUUUUUUGUAAUAAACUAAUAGAUAAUUGACUAAAUAAACAUUCUGCAAAGUUUCAAUAAAAAUUUCCAAGUUUUUCUUACAAUUUCCGUGGUUUUUAUUCAAUUUUUAUCGAUAUC
Molecule: long non-coding RNA, 831 nt
Filed under: Malus domestica (apple)
Lineage: Eukaryota; Viridiplantae; Streptophyta; Magnoliopsida; Rosales; Rosaceae
Description: long non-coding RNA (MDOM_LNC007475)
Source: RNAcentral